This 138-nucleotide small nucleolar RNA is filed under the name Ornithorhynchus anatinus (platypus). The record is from RNAcentral. Lineage: Eukaryota; Metazoa; Chordata; Mammalia; Monotremata; Ornithorhynchidae.
UCCCUCUCAGGGUGGCACCUGGAGAGUUUCCAGUCCUCUACCAGUCUCGGCUACGGGAGGGAGAGUCGAGCAGAGGCCCACUCAUUCCAUUCCUAGCUUGGGCAGUGGCUAGCGAGUGCAAGACAAUCUGCUAUAAGU